GAUGAAGAACGCAGCGAAAUGCGAUAAGUAGUGUGAAUUGCAGAAUUCAGUGAAUCAUCGAAUCUUUGAACGCACAUUGCGCCCCUUGGUAUCCCGAGGGGCAUGCCUGUUCGAGCGUCAUUUCACCACUCAAGCCUGGCUUGGUGUUGGGCGACGUCCUCUUUGGGGACGCGCCUCGAAACGCUCGGCGGCGUGGCACCGGCUUUAAGCGUAGCAGAAUCUUUCGCUUUGGAAGUCGGGGCCCCGUCUGCCGGAAGACCUGCUCGAAAGGUUGACCUCGGAUCAGGCAGGGAUACCCGCUGAACUUAAGCAUAUCAAUAAGCGGAGGA
RNAcentral lists this unclassified non-coding RNA (329 nucleotides) under soil metagenome. Its description in RNAcentral is "partial contains 5.8S ribosomal RNA, internal transcribed spacer 2, and large subunit ribosomal RNA". The stretch from base 1 to 120 matches the Rfam family "5.8S ribosomal RNA", at positions 35 to 154 of the family's 154-position model. The record is from RNAcentral.